UCGUACGGGAUCCGAGGUAGCAAUAUCUUGGUGAGAGUGGCGCACGGGUGCGUAACACGUAUGCAACCUACCUUUAACCGGGACACAACCUCGAGAAAUUGAGGCUAAUAUCCCAUAACACUGCGAGAUGGCAUCAUUUUGCAGUUAAAACUCCGGUGGUUAUUGAUGGGCAUGCGCGACAUUAGCUAGUUGGUGAGGUAACGGCCCACCAAGGCUACGAUGUCUAGGGGUUCUGAGAGGAUUAUCCCCCACACUGGUACUGAGACACGGACCAGACUCCUACGGGAGGCAGCAGUAAGGAAUAUUGGUCAAUGGGCGCAAGCCUGAACCAGCCAUGCCGCGUGAAGGAUGACGGCCCUAUGGGUUGUAAACUUCUUUUGUACGGGAAAAAACCACCGGUCGUGUAUCGGUGCUGAUGGUACCGUAAGAAUAAGCAUCGGCUAACUCCGUGCCAGCAGCCGCGGUAAUACGGAGGAUGCAAGCGUUAUCCGGAUUCAUUGGGUUUAAAGGGUGCGCAGGCGGAGUGAUAAGUCAGUGGUGAAAGCCUACAGCUUAACUGUAGAACUGCCAUUGAUACUGUCAUUCUUGAAUAUUGUUGACGUAGGCGGAAUGUGUCAUGUAGCGGUGAAAUGCUUACAUAUGACACAGAACACCGAUCGCGAAGGCAGCUUACCAAGCAAUAACUGACGCUCAUGCCCGAAAGCGUGGGGAUCAAACAGGAU
RNAcentral lists this ribosomal RNA (722 nucleotides) under uncultured bacterium. RNAcentral describes it as "SSU rRNA". It matches the Rfam family "Bacterial small subunit ribosomal RNA", at positions 62 to 778 of the family's 1533-position model. The record is from RNAcentral.